UACGGAGGGAGCGAGCGUUGUUCGGAAUUACUGGGCGUAAAGCGUGCGCAGGCGGUUUCGCAAGUCAGAAGUGAAAGCCCAGGGCUCAGCCCUGGAAUUGCUUUUGAAACUGCGAGGCUAGAGUAUCGGAGAGGUUGGCGGAAUUCCCAGUGUAGAGGUGAAAUUCGUAGAUAUUGGGAGGAACACCAGUGGCGUAAGCGGCCAACUAGACGAUUACUGACGCUCAGGCACGAAAGUAUGGGGAGCAAACAGG
Molecule: ribosomal RNA, 253 nt
Filed under: uncultured bacterium
Lineage: Bacteria
Description: partial 16S ribosomal RNA
Rfam family: Bacterial small subunit ribosomal RNA
Source: RNAcentral